UACGUAGGGUGCGAGCGUUGUCCGGAAUUAUUGGGCGUAAAGCGUGCGCAGGCGGUUAUGUAAGACAGAUGUGAAAUGCCCGGGCUUAACCUGGGAACUGCAUUUGUGACUGCAUGGCUAGAGUUUGGCAGAGGGGGGUAGAAUUCCACGUGUAGCAGUGAAAUGCGUAGAUAUGUGGAGGAACACCGAUGGCGAAGGCAGCCCCCUGGGUCAAGACUGACGCUCAUGCACGAAAGCGUGGGGAGCAAACAGG
RNAcentral lists this ribosomal RNA (253 nucleotides) under uncultured bacterium. Its description in RNAcentral is "partial 16S ribosomal RNA". It matches the Rfam family "Bacterial small subunit ribosomal RNA", at positions 524 to 776 of the family's 1533-position model. The record is from RNAcentral.